GGGGAGGGAGUGCGGAGCUCUCCCGGCUCUCCGCGGCCGGCCGUGCCCCAGGACAGCCCCUUUGUGCCGGAGCAGCUCUUCGCCGGGGUUUCCCCGGUCCCACGCGCCGCCGAGGAGCAAUGGCAUCUAUGGUGCUUGUCUGUGUGUGGGAGGACUCAGAGGGAGACCUGAACACCAGCACCUCUUUCUGCUGUUUUUCCACCCUGCACCAUCAGCAAGCUUGAUGGAAGCAGCACAGGGUUUUAUCAUUACUGUACAAACAUGUCAAGCUGCACUUCCUCUUUGUGGAAUCAUACAAUAUUCCCACUCAACAGGAUCCUAUUCUAUUACUGAAAGCUGGACACUCCUUUCCAUCACUUAGCUUGUUUUUGAAUACUGGUUUUAAAUGUGCAUUACACUUUUGGAUGAUGAACAUCUAUUGUGUCAAACAACAGAAAGUAGCUCACGAAUUCCAAAGUAUCAACAAAAUUUUAAAGUGGAGGGACUCAGUCUUGUGGCUUACACCUCCCAUUGUUUGCAUUUUGGUGUUGUUUGCUUGAUUGAAUUUGUUCUGUAAUUGCGUCUCGAGUUACAGUCCACCCAUGUCUAGUCGUUCUGUUUAUGAAAUUCACAAAUGUAUCCCAAGACCUUUUCAUUCUUGAGAAGAAACACAAGCAACAGCUUUUCUACAUACAUUUUUGUGGUCUCCUAGGGCAAACCUAGGGAUGUGUUCGCACAUUCUAAGUUGUAUGAAUCUGUACUGCAAGAUCUGCACUAAAACUGAGGGCUGCAGACAAAUAAUGACAGGAGCCCUGUCCGGGCUCUGACUUGAGGCUAACUAUGCUGAGCGGGACACAGAAAAAUAUUGGACAUGACAUAAGAAAAAUGCUGAACAUCACAAAUAAUAUCAGGACACAAUGAUGAAAGUUAUAGCAAGUGCCAGGCAGAAUGGCUGUAUCUUGCACGUGGCUAAGGGCAGGCUGGAUGAGACACGGCCAAACUCCGGAGAUAACAGGGAGAGAACUGGGAGCCUUUCAGGAAGUACAGUCUGAAAAGCCUCAACCCAGAUGAAGACUGGCUAGGUAAGUGUCAGAAAUAACAAGUUUGAUGUCUGUGGGUAAAAAUAAAGUAGAGAUGGAUUGUUUAUUUUGGAAAAGACAGCGGUGGACAAAAGAGGGCGCAUGGCUGGUGGAAAGCGGAGAGGGGAAUUGGGAAAAGUUGUAGAAAGGCACGCAGGCCAUGUGAGUGGGACUGCAUGGGGAACAGCCCAGCACUUGAUGACUGCAGCUUGAGUAGGACUAUGAACAAAACCCAUAAAUUCACCUUUACCACAUAAACAGGGUCAGCUCUCAGCCUCAGGAGAACUGGGUGGGACCUCUACAGGAAGAUCGCUGCCAUCAUUUCAAACAGUGGACAACAGAGGGCGUGAUCUCCCCUGCCCUCUUUUCCAAACAGAAGAUUUCUGCUCUUGUGUCUAUUUUCCCUCUCACGGGUACACAGCAGAUCUCAAAGACAAGUACAGUGCCUCCCAGAAACUAUCAUAUCAAAUGCCAAGGUGAAUUUGUUUCCGUGUGCUCAGCCUAACAACAAGAUUCACAUGCAAUAUUGCAGUGCCUGAAGACUAAAACCAAUUUGGAGUUUAUGGGACAGCUCUAUAGAAAGGAAGUUAUUAAGAAGGGAUGUAAUUAUUGAGCUUAAUUACACUGUCAUCUGGCAUUUUUGUUAAAGUCAAACUACAUCUGUAUGCAGCAGCUGAGAAUCGGGUUCAGAAGCCGUAAUGACUAUUUUGGUGGACCAGAAAACUGGGACCUGAAGUAAUCUGGCAGUUGGAUAAUGCUUACAUCAAAGAGGCUGUGUAGCUCUACUGAUGUCAGGCACACAAAUACAGUCAGGGUCACUGCUUCAUUUUACAAGGCUCAGUAUUAACCUGCUCAUACUUCUGGUGAAGCAGAUUUCCCAUCGUGCAAGAGUGAAGCUCCAGAAAGGCUGUAUGCUUGACAAUUGGGAAUGCAGCCUGAACAAUAACUUCUUUUAAAGGCACUGCUUGAGAAUAACCUCAUUCUGUCAGCGAGUACUCAUCAUGACACAAGAGCAGAAAAGCCAGCUUCGGUGCUUCCUUCCUGUUUUGUGAAGUUAUCUAUGGCUGAUGACUGAACUGGCACUCCUUUAUUUUUUUUUUUUUUCAUUAAAAACAUUGCAAGAAAGCAAAGGGACAGAAUAGAAGUUCUUAUACACCAUUACUACUAAGUGCAUUGCUACCUGCAGCUGUGAUACCUAGAUUUAGGAGGCUUCCAUUACAGCCUUGUGCUGCAUCACUUCAAUUCAGUCACAGAGCCACUCAACAUCCAGUCUUGGUCAGACUAGGAACCAGGUACACAGAUAUUUCCUGGAUGGACAGAGCAAUGCACUGAAUCCUCACAACGCAGGGAUCACACUGGACUGCCCAUAAUCAUGAAAACUGCAUGAGGGAUCUAAUGGAAAUCUAUAGUUGCUGCUUCCUCUUUCCUUAAAAGAGAAAUGUGCAUCUUUGGUGGAGAAAAAAUAAAACACAGAGUAUAUUUUUUGCUUUUCAGUAUUAGUUCUUCUGUAGAAAUGAGAGGCAACAGAAGGCAUUGUCCAACAAGACAGAUGCCUGCUUUGUUUGAUCAUAUGCCAUAGAGGAGGACAAUAAAUGGCUUUGACUCUGAACUGAUUCAGCAGCUUUUAUUAAACAAGGUAUAUGCUUUUGACUGUCUCCCUUGUUGGAAGAAGUGGACUGGUCCAGCUCAUUGCCAUGCAAGGGAUUCAUGCCAUUCUGAGCAAGACUAUGAUUAUGAAUGAAGUC
Gallus gallus (chicken) is the source of this 2803-nucleotide long non-coding RNA. RefSeq lists it as uncharacterized. NCBI's taxonomy places the organism in Eukaryota, Metazoa, Chordata, Aves, Galliformes, Phasianidae. The record is from RefSeq and is a predicted model, not a curated record. The transcript has 3 exons.